RNAcentral lists this ribosomal RNA (443 nucleotides) under uncultured bacterium. Its description in RNAcentral is "partial 16S ribosomal RNA". It matches the Rfam family "Bacterial small subunit ribosomal RNA", at positions 338 to 795 of the family's 1533-position model. The record is from RNAcentral.
CCUACGGGUGGCAGCAGUGGGGAAUAUUGGGCAAUGGGCGCAAGCCUGACCCAGCAACGCCGCGUGAAGGAAGAAGGCUUUCGGGUUGUAAACUUCUUUUCUGAGGGACGAAGAAAGUGACGGUACUCCAGGAAUAAGCCACGGCUAACUACGUGCCAGCAGCCGCGGUAAUACGUAGGCGGCAAGCGUUAUCUGGAUUUAUUGGGUGUAAAGGGCGUGUAGGCGGGAAAGCAAGUCAGAUGUGAAAACUCAGGGCUCAACCCUGAGCCUGCAUUGGACACUGUUUUUCUUGAGUGCUGGAGAGGCAAUCGGAAUUCCGUGUGUAGCGGUGAAAUGCGUAGAUAUAGGGAGGAACACCGGUGGCGAAGGUGGAUUGCUGGACAGAAACUGACGCUGAGGCGCGAAAGCGUGGGGAGCAAACAGGAUUAGAUACCCUUGUAGUC